AGCCGUGCUGGCGGGGCGCCGUCUGGAUCUGCUCUAUCCGUGGACGACACGCCAGGCCAUGCCAGCUCUGCGCUGGCUGCGGGUG
This 85-nucleotide transfer RNA is filed under the name Thermogemmatispora argillosa. RNAcentral's name for it is "tRNA-Ser". The record is from RNAcentral. Lineage: Bacteria; Bacillati; Chloroflexota; Ktedonobacteria; Thermogemmatisporales; Thermogemmatisporaceae.